CUGCUCCAAGCAUGAUAUGUUCACUGUGUGGCCGAGGAUAGUUCGAAAACGUGACGCAUCACUCACCUCCUUCAGAACUCCUUCCGUGACUUAAAGCAUUUUAUUUUCAUUUCACGUCACUAGAGCGGCUUCCGGGGUGGCUUGUAGCACUUCCCAACCACACCAUACUCUAAGUUUCUUUUUCUGAAUUCUUUUAUUUAUUCAUUGAUGAUUAUUUAUUAAAUACAUACUCUGGCCAUAGAUCCUUUGCUUUGGCCGCAUGUAAAUAGCACCGAUAUUUAAAUGAGCACACAGAUAAACACCCAGCUGUGGCAAACCAUACUGAAGGAAAGCUCUAAGA
Molecule: long non-coding RNA, 340 nt
Filed under: Bos taurus (domestic cattle)
Lineage: Eukaryota; Metazoa; Chordata; Mammalia; Artiodactyla; Bovidae
Description: long non-coding RNA NONBTAT005827
Source: RNAcentral